UUAAUUUAUUUUUGUUUUUGAGACUCAGAGAGUAUGCCACUGUUCAAAGCAAGAGUUUGGGUCCUCCGGCGGGCGCCUGGUUCCGGGCCGCUAGGGGCGCCGGGGCGGUCCCGCCGAGGCAACGUUGUGGUAUGUUCACAGGGGUUUGGGAGUUGAUAACUCGGUAAUGAUCCCUCCGCUGGUUCACCAACGGAGA
RNAcentral lists this unclassified non-coding RNA (196 nucleotides) under uncultured fungus. RNAcentral's name for it is "sequence contains ITS1". Lineage: Eukaryota; Fungi. The record is from RNAcentral.